AGGAAGAGGCGGAGCGGCAGUAGGAACACGGAGGAAAAGAGGAGGUGAGGGAUCCGCACGGCUCUGGUGUCGCCUGAGCUCGCGGCCCCCCCGGGAUCAUCGCUCGCCAUCCCGCAGACAAGGAGCUGAAGAUGGAGACCGGGGAGGACAAAUCCCCGCAGCAGAACCUCGUGGAAGAGGCCAUUUUGAGUGGCUCCAUGGCGCAGGAAUCCGAGGGGGAGGAAAAGCCCCGGAGAUCCCGCAGGAGGAAGGGCUCCAACCCCAGCCCGGGGUGCUCUGAGGAGGAAAGACCCACCCUGUGCUGGGAAGGUGGCCGGAGCUCCAGUCUGGUGGUCCACGAGCAGCUUCGGGAUGGGGAGAAGCCUCACAAGUGUUUGGAAUGUGGGAAGAGCUUCAGGCGGAACUUCCACCUGAUCCGCCACCAGAUGAUCCACACCGGGGAGAAGCCCUGUGGGUGUCCUGAGUGUGGGAAGAGCUUCAGAGACAGCUCCCACCUGAUCCGCCACCAGAUGAUCCACACUGGGCAUUGGCCCUAUGAGUGUGUGGAAUGCGGCAAGGGCUUAAGAGACAGCUCCCACCUGAUCCGCCACCAGAGGAUCCACACUGGGGAGAGGCCCUUUGAGUGUGGUGAAUGUGGGAAGAGCUUCAGGCAGAGCUCCUACCUGAUCCGCCACCAGAGGAUCCACACUGGGGAGAGACCCUUUCAGUGUGGUGAAUGUGGGAAGAGCUUCAUCCAGAGCUCCAGCCUGAUUGUCCACGAGAGGAUCCACACUGGGAAGAGGCCCUAUGAGUGCUUGGAAUGUGGGAAGAGCUUCAGCCAGAGCUCUCACCUGACCUCCCACCAGAAGAUCCACACUGGGGAGCGGCCCUACGAGUGUCCCGAGUGUGGGAAGAGGUUUCACACCAGCUCAGAUCUCCUCAUACAUGAACGGAUUCACACGGAUGAGAGGCCCUUCCGCUGCCCCGACUGCAGGAAGGGCUUCAAGCACAACUCCAACCUCACCGCCCACCGGCGCAUCCACACCGGGGAGAGGCCCUACGAGUGUCCCCGGUGUGGGAAGAGCUUCUCCUGGAGCUCAUCCUUGACCCAUCACCAACGGAGCCACCGGUAAGGGAAGCAUUGGGAAUGCCCUGACUACAGGAAGAGCUUUGUGUGCUGCUCCAACUCCAUCUCCUAUUGGAGGACCUACGUUGGGCAGAGCCCUGGUGGCCCACAUUCCCGGUGACCCGCAUUGGGAAGACACCCGGCCAGUGGUUUCCAUUUUCUCCUGGUUUCCCAGAGGCACUCGGAUGAACGCGAGGGCAUGAACCUCCUUCAGCAGUCAAAUCAACAUUAGAAAUUCAUUAAGAUCUGAUUUCUUAGCUUUACACCAUAAAAAGAUCUUGUGUGCUCUGUCCAAUUGUUUCUUCUGGUGGCAUCAAGCAGUGCUGGAUGAUCUUGGAGAUGUUUUCCUACCUGAAUAAUUUCCAUCUUUAUCGCAUCGAAAUGUCCAGAACCGGGCAAUCUGGUUAAUCUAUGCAGUUCUGAAAGGAGAAAUAAAGAAAAGAGUAUCCUGGAACCAGAAGAUAAUAAAGGCACUGACACGGGACAGAGAUCCACAUCUGCAUUUAUCAUCUCCAAGUCCUCCAAAGUGUAACAACGCUUACGAUAACUGUGGAUUCAAAGAUGAACAUCGAGUAUAAACUCAGAAGAACAGGACUGUAUACAGUGAAAGCAUUACACUUACGAUAGUAAAGUGAAAUACUUUCAAAGGGGGGAAAUACGUUACUAUGGGGUUAGAUGUUUCUGAAAGUGUUUCUUAAAAUUGCGUAGAAGUAGGCCACGAGAAUGCUUGGUAUUAGGGAUGGUCUAGCAAGCUGAAAUGUUUACGGUAACGGGAACUGGUAUUUGGGGUCUCAAAGAUACCCACCCAGAGAUAAGGUUCAUACAUGUUCGUACAAGGAUGAGCUAACUCUCGUGAAGCAAUAUCGAUAAAGUUAAUGAAGCAAUAUUGAUAAGGUUGUUAUAGUGAUUACUGCUACAGCUGAAAUUGUAUAAAUAUGUGCAUUUUGGACAAAGACAAUGGAGCUAGAUUUGGGUCGCAGGUAACCCUAGUUUCUGCGCGCUUCAAUAAAGCACCUACAUACGAUCAAUCUGUGAUUAUGUGUGUUCCUGAACGCUAACGCUGAGAGGAAUAGAGGUGGGCAACCAAUGGGAUCUGUGUGAGUUCCUGUGUAGAAAUGCUUUUUCACCAAAUUAUCCUUAAAUAACAUUAUCUUAAAUCAUUUCCAUUGGGUGGGUGCAACUGGGAGUGCUCAAAGCCCUGGAAAGCUGACCCAUUGAUUACUGGGGAAAAGGAAGAGGAGGAAGUGUCGGUUUUACAAACCGGUUGUGCGGCUGUAUUUUGAAACAUGAUAUUCUGGUAUUGUAAAACUGGAUUAUUUUGUAACUCUGCGUUCUAGUAUUUUGAAACUGGGUUACUUUGGUAUUAUACCACACGUAAUAAAUGGAAUUGAUUUGUGAUACCUAAAUUGUAACUGUUAUUAAAGUUGUUAUUGGAAGCAAUCAAAAGACGGGGCAGAUGCACCCCUUUACAGAUGUUGCAUGUUGGGAUUGAGGUACAGGAUGUAGUUUGGAGGAUGGGUGAUGUCCCAGGACGAGGGUGGCCUUGGGAUGGACAAGGUUGGAGCGACUUUAGGCAUUGGGCAUAAAGAUCAGUAAAUGUGGGACCGAUCGGUGGACUUACAUAACACAACGCUUAGUACGCACGCGCAAACCUGUAAGGUUAUCCGAAGGACGACGAGGAAGAGGAGAAGCCUUCGCCAAAAGACCACCGAUAGAAGAUUGAAGACCCCCUAACAACAAGUGAGGCAUGCGCCGUGAAGAAUAGUGGCGUAAAAUCAGAAAUGCCGGCAAUAGGAAAUUUACGGGAAACAUUAAUAAAUACGUGUAAGCACACAGUAUAUAAGUUUAGCUUAAAGUGCUUUGUUUUGUACGUGAGGCAGCGUGGGAAGCCUCCGUACCCGGGUCGGUUUUGUGUGUGAGGUGGGGUAACGAGCCCUCCCCGUACCCUGGUCGGUUUUGCUUAUGCUUUAAUCAUACUUAAUUACUCGCACAUUAUAUAUAUAAAUUGUAAUUUUUAAUAAAUUGUAUUCUUUUACUAAACUGUA
Molecule: RNA transcript, 3150 nt
Organism: Poecile atricapillus (Black-capped chickadee)
Lineage: Eukaryota; Metazoa; Chordata; Aves; Passeriformes; Paridae
Gene name: zinc finger protein 239-like
Exons: 3
Source: RefSeq, a predicted model, not a curated record